Molecule: ribosomal RNA, 68 nt
Filed under: Frullania fertilis
Lineage: Eukaryota; Viridiplantae; Streptophyta; Jungermanniopsida; Porellales; Frullaniaceae
Description: partial 18S ribosomal RNA
Rfam family: Eukaryotic small subunit ribosomal RNA
Source: RNAcentral
AACCUUAUMUUUAGAGGAAGGAGAGUCGUAACAAGGUUUCCGUAGGUGAACCUGCGGAAGGAUCAUUG